CCUACGGGUGGCAGCAGUGAGGAAUAUUGGUCAAUGGGCGGGAGCCUGAACCAGCCAAGCCGCGUGAGGGAAGAAGGUACAGCGUAUCGUACACCUCUUUUGUCAGGGAACAAAGGCGGGGACUAGUCCCCGGAUGAGGGUACCUGAAGAAAAAGCAUCGGCUAACUCCGUGCCAGCAGCCGCGGUAAUACGUAGGUGGCAAGCGUUGUCCGGAAUUACUGGGUGUAAAGGGAGCGCAGGCGGGAAGCCAAGUCAGCUGUGAAAACUACGGGCUUAACUUGUAGACUGCAGUUGAAACUGGUUUUCUUGAGUGAAGUAGAGGUUGGCGGAAUUCUGAGUGUAGCGGUGAAAUGCGUAGAUAUUCGGAGGAACACCGGUGGCGAAGGCGGCCAACUGGGCUUUAACUGACGCUGAGGCUCGAAAGUGUGGGGAGCAAACAGGAUUAGAUACCCGUGUAGUC
This 460-nucleotide ribosomal RNA is filed under the name uncultured bacterium. Its description in RNAcentral is "partial 16S ribosomal RNA". It matches the Rfam family "Bacterial small subunit ribosomal RNA", at positions 338 to 795 of the family's 1533-position model. The record is from RNAcentral.